UACGUAGGCAGCGAGCGUUGUUCGGAAUUAUUGGGCGUAAAGAGUGUGUAGGCGGUGCUCCAAGUCUGUUGUGAAAUCUCCCGGCUUAACUGGGAGGGUGCGGCGGAAACUGGAAUGCUAGAGGGUGGGAGAGGUAAGCGGAAUUCCUGGUGUAGCGGUGAAAUGCGUAGAUAUCAGGAGGAACACCUGUGGUGUAGACAGCUUACUGGACCACUCCUGACGCUGAGACACGAAAGCGUGGGUAGCAAACAGG
RNAcentral lists this ribosomal RNA (253 nucleotides) under uncultured bacterium. RNAcentral describes it as "partial 16S ribosomal RNA". It matches the Rfam family "Bacterial small subunit ribosomal RNA", at positions 524 to 776 of the family's 1533-position model. The record is from RNAcentral.